UAAAAGGAGCAGAAGAAAUGAAACGUCCAAACUAGUUGUGAGGAGACCUCAUCUUUAUUUACAACUGACAGGAUGGACUACAGUUAUGUCAGAACUCUCCAUUCCCCUCAACUGGAUGGAUGAAGAGCCGUCGGAGGCUCACAAGAACCCAGUACAUGGAUUGGAAAAAUACCAAAACAGAGAUUCUUGAUCUUAGAGAUGAAGAAUUUUGAAGUGACACAGACCUGGGUUUAAAAUCUGGCUCUGCUACUUACAAGUUCAGUGAACUUGAAACAAAGAACUGCUUUGAACAUGUUUUCCUAUUUCUGAAAUGGUGACAUUAAUGCCUUUCCCAUAGAUUUUUGUGAGAAUUAUAUGAGAAAAUAGGCACUCAGUAACUGCUAACAUAGUAUAUGUAAUGUCUGGUGAAUGUAUGAAUAUAUCAGUCAUGCAACAUUUCAAAAGUUGUAAAUACUUAAGGUUAAAACCUGCAAUUACAAAUUUUCAAAGCCUACCUACCAGCAUAUUUACUUCACACUAAUAUUUUA
Non-coding RNA from Manis javanica (Malayan pangolin), 527 nucleotides. Lineage: Eukaryota; Metazoa; Chordata; Mammalia; Pholidota; Manidae. The record is from RefSeq and is a predicted model, not a curated record.